RNAcentral lists this ribosomal RNA (253 nucleotides) under uncultured bacterium. RNAcentral's name for it is "partial 16S ribosomal RNA". It matches the Rfam family "Bacterial small subunit ribosomal RNA", at positions 524 to 776 of the family's 1533-position model. The record is from RNAcentral.
UACGUAGGGCGCAAGCGUUAUCCGGAAUUAUUGGGCGUAGAGAGCUCGUAGGCGGUUUGUCGCGUCUGCUGUGAAAGACCGGGGCUCAACUCCGGUUCUGCAGUGGGUACGGGCAGACUAGAGUGAUGUAGGGGAGAUUGGAAUUCCUGGUGUAGCGGUGAAAUGCGCAGAUAUCAGGAGGAACACCGAUGGCGAAGGCGGGUCUCUGGGCAUUAACUGACGCUGAGGAGCGAAAGCAUGGGGAGCGAACAGG